This 854-nucleotide ribosomal RNA is filed under the name uncultured bacterium. RNAcentral describes it as "bacterial SSU rRNA". It matches the Rfam family "Bacterial small subunit ribosomal RNA", at positions 67 to 933 of the family's 1533-position model. The record is from RNAcentral.
CGGAGAUAUAUGGAGCUUGCUUUAUAUAACUUAGCAGCGACCGGGUGAGUAACACGUAGAUAAUCUAUCCUAUACUGGGGGAUAGCCCGAUGAAAGUUGGAUUAAUACCGCAUAUAGCUAUAUAGUUGCAUGAUUAUGUAGUGAAAGAUUUAUUGGUAUAGGAGGAGUCUGCGGCACAUUAGCUAGUAGGUGAGGUAAAGGCUUACCUAGGCGACGAUGUGUAGCCGGUCUGAGAGGAUGAACGGCCACAAUGGAACUGAGACACGGUCCAUACUCCUACGGGAGGCAGCAGUGGGGAAUAUUGCACAAUGGGGGAAACCCUGAUGCAGCAACGCCGCGUGAGUGAAGAAGGUUUUCGGAUUGUAAAGCUCUGUUAGCAGGGAAGAGGAAGGACGGUACCUGCAGAGGAAGCCACGGCUAGCUACGUGCCAGCAGCCGCGGUAAUACGUAGGUGGCAAGCGUUGUUCGGAAUAACUGGGCGUAAAGGAUGCGUAGGCGGUUAAACAAGUUAUAUGUUAAAUAUAUAGGCUUAACCUGUAGAAAGCAUAUAAAACUGUUUAACUAGAGUGCAGGAGAGGUAAGUGGAAUUCCUAGUGUAGCGGUGAAAUGCGUAGAGAUUAGGAAGAACACCAGUGGCGAAGGCGACUUACUGGACUGUAACUGACGCUGAGGCAUGAGAGCAUGGGGAGCAAACAGGAUUAGAUACCCUGGUAGUCCAUGCUGUAAACGAUGGGUACUAGGUGUGGGUUGUGAAUAACAAUUCGUGCCGUCGCAAACGCAAUAAGUACCCCGCCUGAGGAGUACGAUCGCAAGAUUAAAACUCAAAGGAAUUGACGGGGACCCGCACAAGCAGC